This 487-nucleotide ribosomal RNA is filed under the name uncultured Paludibacter sp. RNAcentral's name for it is "bacterial SSU rRNA". It matches the Rfam family "Bacterial small subunit ribosomal RNA", at positions 28 to 505 of the family's 1533-position model. Lineage: Bacteria; Pseudomonadati; Bacteroidota; Bacteroidia; Bacteroidales; Paludibacteraceae. The record is from RNAcentral.
GAUGAACGCUAGCGAUAGGCUUAACACAUGCAAGUCGAGGGGUAACAUGAUUGAAGCUUGCUUCAAUUGAUGACGACCGGCGCACGGGUGCGUAACACGUAUGCAACCUACCUAUAAAUGAGGGAUAACCCGGAGAAAUUCGGACUAAUACCUCAUAGUAUUUAGAAGAGGCAUCUCUUUUAUCUUAAAGAAUUUCGUUUAUAGAUGGGCAUGCGCAUGAUUAGUUAGUUGGCGGGGUAACGGCCCACCAAGACAACGAUCAUUAGGGGUUCUGAGAGGAAGAUCCCCCACACUGGUACUGAGACACGGACCAGACUCCUACGGGAGGCAGCAGUGAGGAAUAUUGGUCAAUGGACGCAAGUCUGAACCAGCCAAAUCGCGUGAAGGAAGACUGCCCUAUGGGUUGUAAACUUCUUUUAUAUGGGAAUAAAGUGCGCUACGUGUAGCGUUUUGUAUGUACCAUAUGAAUAAGGACCGGCUAACUCCG